AUACUCUGGUUUCUCUUCAGAUCGAAUAAAUCUUUCUCCUUGUACUAAAGAUAUCCAUGGAGAGAAACAACUCUGAGUGUCCAGCCAAUUUUUUGAGGCCUUGCCUUGGCAGGGCC
Small nuclear RNA from Hippopotamus amphibius kiboko, 116 nucleotides. RefSeq annotates it as U5 spliceosomal RNA. NCBI's taxonomy places the organism in Eukaryota, Metazoa, Chordata, Mammalia, Artiodactyla, Hippopotamidae. The record is from RefSeq and is a predicted model, not a curated record. The transcript has a single exon.